This 1211-nucleotide ribosomal RNA is filed under the name metagenome. RNAcentral describes it as "bacterial LSU rRNA". It matches the Rfam family "Bacterial large subunit ribosomal RNA", at positions 1594 to 2815 of the family's 2925-position model. The record is from RNAcentral.
UGUACGUCAGACUUCCAAGAAAAGCUCGCAAUGUCAUAAAUAAAUAAUGCCUGUACCAUAACCGACACAGGUGGGUAGGUAGAGUAUACUAAGGGGCGCGAGAUAACUCUCUCUAAGGAACUCGGCAAAAUGACUCCGUAACUUCGGGAGAAGGAGUGCCUUAUUUAUAAGGUUGCAAUAACAAGAUCCAAGCAACUGUUUAUCAAAAACACAGGUCUCCGCUAAGUCGUAAGACGAUGUAUGGGGGCUGACGCCUGCCCAGUGCCAGAAGGUUAAAGAAGUUGGUUAGUGUAUGCGAAGCUGAUGACUGAAGCCCUGGUGAACGGCGGCCGUAACGAUAACGGUCCUAAGGUAGCGAAAUUCCUUGUCGGGUAAGUUCCGACCCGCACGAAAGGCGUAAUGAUUUGGAUACUGUCUCGGAGAGAGGCUCGGUGAAAUAGACUUGUCUGUGAAGAUGCGGACUACCUGCACCAGGACAGAAAGACCCUAUGAAGCUUUACUGUAACUUGAAAUUGGAAUUGGACUUUGCUUGCGCAGUAUAGGUGGGAAGCGUUGAAGAUAUUCUUGCGGGAGUAUUGGAGCUAUCAGUGAGAUACCACUCUUGUAAUGUUAGAUUUCUAACUUUGAACCAUAAUCUGGUCAAAGAACAGUUUCAGGUGGGCAGUUUGACUGGGGCGGUCGCCUCCCAAAUGGUAACGGAGGCGUACAAAGGUUUCCUCUGAACGGAUAGAAAUCGUAUCUAGAGUGUAAAGGCAUAAGGAAGCUUGACUGUGAGACCUACAAGUCGAGCAGGGCGAAAGUCGGUCUUAGUGAUCUGACGGUACUGAGUGGAAAGGCCGUCACUCAACGGAUAAAAGUUACUCUAAGGAUAACAGGCUGAUCUCCCCCAAGAGUUCACAUCGACGGGGAGGUUUGGCACCUCGAUGUCGGCUCAUCGCAUCCUGGGGCGGUAGUACGUCCCAAGGGUUGGGCUGCUCGCCCAUGAAAGCGGUACGCGAGCUGGGUUCAGAACGUCGUGAGACAGUUCGGUCCAUAUCCGGUGUAGGCGUUAGAAUAUUGAGAGGAGCCUUCUUUAGUACGAGAGGACCGAGAAGGACACACCGCUGGUGUACCAGUUAUCGUGCCAACGGUAAACGCUGGGUAGCUAUGUGUGGAGUGGAUAACCGCUGAAAGCAUCUAAGUGGGAAGCCCACCUCAAGAUGAGUAUUCAC